Molecule: ribosomal RNA, 574 nt
Filed under: Saccharomyces cerevisiae (brewer's yeast)
Lineage: Eukaryota; Fungi; Ascomycota; Saccharomycetes; Saccharomycetales; Saccharomycetaceae
Description: partial large subunit ribosomal RNA
Rfam family: Eukaryotic large subunit ribosomal RNA
Source: RNAcentral
UUAGUACGGCGAGUGAAGCGGCAAAAGCUCAAAUUUGAAAUCUGGUACCUUCGGUGCCCGAGUUGUAAUUUGGAGAGGGCAACUUUGGGGCCGUUCCUUGUCUAUGUUCCUUGGAACAGGACGUCAUAGAGGGUGAGAAUCCCGUGUGGCGAGGAGUGCGGUUCUUUGUAAAGUGCCUUCGAAGAGUCGAGUUGUUUGGGAAUGCAGCUCUAAGUGGGUGGUAAAUUCCAUCUAAAGCUAAAUAUUGGCGAGAGACCGAUAGCGAACAAGUACAGUGAUGGAAAGAUGAAAAGAACUUUGAAAAGAGAGUGAAAAAGUACGUGAAAUUGUUGAAAGGGAAGGGCAUUUGAUCAGACAUGGUGUUUUGUGCCCUCUGCUCCUUGUGGGUAGGGGAAUCUCGCAUUUCACUGGGCCAGCAUCAGUUUUGGUGGCAGGAUAAAUCCAUAGGAAUGUAGCUUGCCUCGGUAAGUAUUAUAGCCUGUGGGAAUACUGCCAGCUGGGACUGAGGACUGCGACGUAAGUCAAGGAUGCUGGCAUAAUGGUUAUAUGCCGCCCGUCUUGAACCACGGACCCA